GGUGUAGCUCAAUUGGCAGAGCGCCUGGCUGUUAACCAGGAGGUUGGAGGUUCGAACCCUCCCG
This 64-nucleotide transfer RNA is filed under the name marine eukaryotic metagenome. It matches the Rfam family "tRNA", at positions 6 to 65 of the family's 71-position model. Rfam says of the family: Transfer RNA (tRNA) molecules are approximately 80 nucleotides in length. Their secondary structure includes four short double-helical elements and three loops (D, anti-codon, and T loops). The record is from RNAcentral.